RNAcentral lists this long non-coding RNA (3987 nucleotides) under Pseudonaja textilis. RNAcentral's name for it is "lncRNA (ENSPTXG00000003944.1)". The record is from RNAcentral. Lineage: Eukaryota; Metazoa; Chordata; Lepidosauria; Squamata; Elapidae.
GAACCAAGGACCUCACAGUCAUUGUCCUCCUCCUCCACUACAAGCCUCCCUCCCACCACUGGGGCCUCCACCACUGUCUACUCAAUGGAAGCCAACGGUGAUCCCUGUGCCGAUUUUGAUCCAGAAAAGGAGGAAGGGGAAGUGCAGUACUUGGUUAAAUGGAAAGGUUGGUCAUACAUCCACAGCACAUGGGAAAGUGAGGACUCCUUGCAGCAGCAGAAAGUGAAAGGCAUUAAGAAGCUGGAGAACUUCAAGAAGAAAGAAGAAGACAUCAACAGUUGGUUGGAAAAGGUCACCCCAGAAGACGUAGAGUAUUUCAACUGCCAACAGGAACUGGCAGCUGAGUUGAACAAACAGUACCAGAUUGUGGAAAGAGUGAUUGUUCACAACCGCAAGUCCUCCUCUAAUGAGCCAGAGUACCUUUGCAAGUGGAUGGGACUUCCCUACGCAGAAUGUAGCUGGGAAGAUGAAGCUCUGAUCAGCAAAAAAUUCCAGUACUGUAUUGAUAGCUUCAACAAUAGGAACAACUCCAAAGCCAUGCCUACUCGGGACUGCAAGGUGCUGAAGCAAAGGCCUCGUUUUGUGGCCUUGAAGAACCAACCUUCCUACAUUGGUGGGGAGAAUCUGGAACUCCGCGACUAUCAGCUGGAGGGCUUGAAUUGGUUGGCUCAUUCUUGGUGCAAGAACAACAGUGUCAUCCUGGCGGACGAGAUGGGCUUGGGGAAGACCAUCCAGACCAUUUCUUUCCUCUGCUACCUCUUCUAUCAGCACCAGCUCUAUGGCCCCUUUCUGAUUGUGGUGCCUUUGUCAACCCUAACCUCAUGGCAGAGGGAGUUUGAGAUCUGGGCCCCUGAGGUCAACGUGGUUGUGUACAUUGGAGAUCAGCUGAGCAGGAAUGCUAUCCGUGAGUAUGAGUGGGUCCAUUCUCAGACCAAACGGUUGAAGUUCAACGUGCUGAUUACAACCUAUGAGAUCCUCCUGAAAGACAAGGCCGUUUUGGGAAGCAUCAACUGGGCCUUCCUAGGAGUGGAUGAAGCCCACCGCUUGAAGAAUGACGAUUCUUUGCUCUACAAGACACUGAUCGACUUCAAGUCCAACCACCGCCUGCUCAUCACUGGGACACCCCUUCAGAAUUCCCUGAAGGAACUGUGGUCCCUGCUGCAAUUCAUCAUGCCAGAGAAGUUCGAAUCCUGGGAAGACUUUGAAGAGGACCAUGGCAAAGGACGAGAGAACGGGUACCAGAGCCUGCAUAAGGUCCUGGAGCCCUUUCUCCUGCGCAGGGUGAAGAAGGACGUGGAAAAAUCCCUCCCAGCCAAAGUAGAGCAGAUCCUGAGGGUGGAGAUGUCUGCCCUCCAGAAGCAGUAUUACAAAUGGAUUUUAACAAGGAAUUACAAAGCCCUGUCCAAGGGAACACGUGGCAGCACUUCUGGCUUCCUGAACAUCGUGAUGGAGCUGAAGAAAUGUUGCAAUCACUGUUACCUGAUCAAACCUCCAGAAGAGAAUGAGAGGGAAAACAGCCAGGAGAGGCUGCAGUCUUUAAUCAGGAGCAGUGGGAAACUCAUCCUUCUGGACAAACUGCUCAGCAGGCUCCGUGCGAGGGGCAACCGAGUCCUCAUCUUCUCCCAGAUGGUGAGAAUGUUGGACAUCUUGGCGGAAUAUCUGACCAUCAAGCACUACCCUUUCCAGCGCCUGGACGGUUCUAUCAAAGGAGAAAUCCGGAAGCAGGCUCUGGAUCAUUUCAACGCCGAAGGCUCGGAGGACUUCUGCUUUCUACUCUCCACACGUGCUGGCGGCCUGGGGAUCAACUUGGCGUCGGCUGACACAGUGGUGAUCUUCGAUUCGGACUGGAACCCCCAGAAUGACCUACAGGCUCAGGCUCGGGCUCAUCGGAUUGGCCAAAAGAAACAAGUAAAUAUCUAUCGCUUGGUUACAAAGGGAACAGUGGAAGAGGAGAUUAUAGAAAGAGCAAAGAAGAAAAUGGUGCUGGACCAUCUUGUGAUACAGCGAAUGGACACCACAGGCCGGACAGUUUUGGACAACAGCUCUGAUAGAUCCAAGACAAACCCCUUCAACAAGGAGGAACUGACCGCCAUUUUGAAAUUUGGAGCCGAAGAACUUUUUAAAGAACCCGAAGGGGAAGAAUCUGAACCACAAGAAAUGGACAUUGAGGAAAUCUUACGCCUGGCUGAGACACGAGAGAAUGAACCAUCCACAAGUGCAACAGACGAACUGCUUUCACAAUUUAAAGUAGCAAACUUUGCUACAACAGAAGAGGAAGAAGCCGAGGCGGAAGAGAAAUCUCAGAAGGAGUGGGAAAGCAUCAUUCCUGAGGAACAAAGGAAGAAAGUGGAAGAAGAGGAGCGGCAGAAAGAACUUGAGGAGAUAUACAUGCUGCCCAGGAUUCGCAGCUCAGCCAAAAAGGUAAUUUUUCUAGUCGAAUCAGAUGUUGAAAUAAAGAGGAAGCUCCAGAGGUCUUCGGGCUCAGAUACCGAGACAGAGGACUCUGAUGAUGACAAAAGGCCCAAACGCAGAGGACGCCCUCGCAGUGUUCGGAAGGACACAGUGGAAGGCUUUACAGACCCUGAAAUCAGAAGGUUGGCAGAGUCAAAAAUUUGCUAUGGAGCACCUUUAUUACGUUCCAUCUCCCUUUUUAGACUGGAAUGCCUCGCUCGGGAUGCUGAACUGGUAGAGAAAUCGGUAGCUGAUCUGAAACGUUUGGGAGAACUUCUCCAUAACAGUUGUGCUUCAGCCAUGCAGGAGUACGAAGAGCAUCUGAAGGAGAACCCAACUGAAAGUGAGGAAAGGGGUAAAGGACCAGGGAAGAGAAAGGGGCCCACAAUUAAGAUCUCUGGAGUCCAGGUGAAUGUGAAAGCAAUUAUUCAACAUGAGGAGGAGUUUGCGAUGCUCCAUCAGACCAUUCCCAGUGACCCAGUGGAGAGGGCAAGGUUUCGUCUGAACUCCCGUGUCAAAUCUGCCCAUUUUGAUGUAGACUGGGGAGUGGAAGAGGAUUCUUCCUUGCUGCGGGGGAUUUAUGAGCAUGGAUGUGGGAACUGGGAGCUCAUCAAGUCAGACCCAGAACUGAACCUCACUGAAAAGAUUUUACCAGCUGAGACAGAUAAAAAGCCACAGGGGAAGCAGCUCCAGGCGCGAGUAGAUUAUCUGAUGAAGCUUAUCAAAAGAGACAUGAAGAGGAAAGAGAACCCGAACAAGACAGAGGAGGUCAGUUCCGUAACCAAGCUAAAUUUGCUCAAGUGGGCUUCAUUAAUGCUACGUAUUAUUUGGGAAGUUAGGAUGCUUUCUCCUCUUCUCUUUUCACAGCCCAAAGGCGCCGAGGCCAAACCCGGAAACCAAGGGAAGAAACUGCUGGGUCAGGGUCCCGUCCACAUUACGGCAGGAAGUGACCCUGUCCCCAUUGAAGAAGAGGAAGAGGAUGAGUUAGACCAUGCAACCUUCACCAUUUGCAAAGAGCUGAUGAGGCCAGUUAAGAAGUCCCUGAAGCAGCUGGAUAAGCCAGAAAGAGGACUUACAGACCACGACCAGCUGGAGCAAACACGGAGUUGCCUACUCAAGAUCGGAGACCACAUUGCUGAAUGUUUGAAAAUCCACACUGAACAGGAAGUCUUUAACGUAUGGAGAAGGAAUCUAUGGGUAUUUGUCUCCAAGUUUACUGAAUUUAAUGCCAAGAAAUUACAUAAGAUAUAUAAGAUGGCUAACAAAAAGCGAUCCCGGGAACAGGAGGUAAGAACAGAGGUGUGUGUGUUUGUGUUGUGCAGUAGAAUGCAAGGAAGGAGAGAGAGGGAAGGAAUGGGAACAUCUUGGAGCUGGAAGGGACCUUGGAGGUCUUCUAAACCAACCCCCUACUCAAGCAGGAGACCCUAUCCCAUCUUGGACAAGUGGCUCUCCAGUCUCCAUUGGUGGACUUGCAUUGCUUUUUCUUCAAGUUGUCUGCCAAAUGCAACUGUGUGUGUGUGUGUGGGGGUCCCCUAG